RNAcentral lists this ribosomal RNA (442 nucleotides) under uncultured bacterium. RNAcentral describes it as "bacterial SSU rRNA". It matches the Rfam family "Bacterial small subunit ribosomal RNA", at positions 60 to 501 of the family's 1533-position model. The record is from RNAcentral.
AGUCGAACGGUAGAGGGGGCAACCCCUUGAGAGUGGCGAACGGGUGAGUAAUGUAUCGGAACGUGCCCAGUCGUGGGGGAUAACGUAGUGAAAAUUACGCUAAUACCGCAUACGAUCUAUGGAUGAAAGCGGGGGAUCGCAAGACCCCGCGCGAUUGGAGCGGCCGAUAUCAGAUUAGGUAGUUGGUGGGGUAAAGGCUCACCAAGCCAACGAUCUGUAGCUGGUCUGAGAGGACGACCAGCCACACUGGAACUGAGACACGGUCCAGACUCCUACGGGAGGCAGCAGUGGGGAAUUUUGGACAAUGGACGAAAGUCUGAUCCAGCCAUUCCGCGUGCAGGACGAAGGCCUUCGGGUUGUAAACUGCUUUUGUACGGAACGAAAAGGCUCUUCUUAAUACGGAGGGCUCAUGACGGUACCGUAAGAAUAAGCACCGGCUAAC